Molecule: ribosomal RNA, 433 nt
Filed under: uncultured bacterium
Lineage: Bacteria
Description: partial 16S ribosomal RNA
Rfam family: Bacterial small subunit ribosomal RNA
Source: RNAcentral
AACGAACGCUGGCGGCAUGCCUAACACAUGCAAGUCGAACGAGACCUUCGGGUCUAGUGGCGCACGGGUGCGUAAAGCGUGGGAACCUGCCCUUAGGUUCGGAAUAACUCCCCGACAGGGGUGCUAAUACCGGAUAAUGUCUUCGGACCACAGAUUUAUCGCCUUUGGAUGGGCCCGCGUUGGAUUAGCCAGUUGGUAGGGUAAAAGCCUACCAAGGCGACGAUCCAUAGCUGGUCUGAGAGGAUGAGCAGCCACACUGGGACUGAGACACGGCCCAGACUCCUACGGGAGGCAGCAGUGGGUAAUAUUGGACAAUGGGCGAAAGCCUGAACCAGCAAUGCCGCGUGAGUGAUGAAGGCCUUAGGGAUGUAAAGCUCUUUUACCCGGGAUGAUAAUGACAGUACCGGGAGAAUAAGCUCCGGCUAACUCCGUG